RNAcentral lists this ribosomal RNA (614 nucleotides) under Bacillus sp. CH144a. RNAcentral describes it as "bacterial SSU rRNA". It matches the Rfam family "Bacterial small subunit ribosomal RNA", at positions 51 to 649 of the family's 1533-position model. The record is from RNAcentral. Lineage: Bacteria; Bacillati; Bacillota; Bacilli; Caryophanales; Bacillaceae.
AUACAUGCAAGUCGAGCGAAAGAAGGGAGCUUGCUCCCGGAUGUUAGCGGCGGACGGGUGAGUAACACGUGGGUAACCUGCCUGUAAGACUGGGAUAACUCCGGGAAACCGGAGCUAAUACCGGAUAGUUCCUUGAACCGCAUGGUUCAAGGAUGAAAGACGGUUUCGGCUGUCACUUACAGAUGGACCCGCGGCGCAUUAGCUAGUUGGUGGGGUAAUGGCUCACCAAGGCGACGAUGCGUAGCCGACCUGAGAGGGUGAUCGGCCACACUGGGACUGAGACACGGCCCAGACUCCUACGGGAGGCAGCAGUAGGGAAUCUUCCGCAAUGGACGAAAGUCUGACGGAGCAACGCCGCGUGAGUGAUGAAGGUUUUCGGAUCGUAAAGCUCUGUUGUUAGGGAAGAACAAGUGCGAGAGUAACUGCUCGCACCUUGACGGUACCUAACCAGAAAGCCACGGCUAACUACGUGCCAGCAGCCGCGGUAAUACGUAGGUGGCAAGCGUUGUCCGGAAUUAUUGGGCGUAAAGGGCUCGCAGGCGGUUUCUUAAGUCUGAUGUGAAAGCCCCCGGCUCAACCGGGGAGGGUCAUUGGAAACUGGGAAACUUGAGUGC